This 297-nucleotide ribosomal RNA is filed under the name uncultured bacterium. RNAcentral describes it as "partial 16S ribosomal RNA". It matches the Rfam family "Bacterial small subunit ribosomal RNA", at positions 775 to 1067 of the family's 1533-position model. The record is from RNAcentral.
GGAUUAGAUACCCUGGUAGUCCACGCCCUAAACGAUGUACACUAGUUGUUGCUAUGCUAGACAUAGCAGUAAUGCAGUUAACACAUUAAGUGUACCGCCUGGGGAGUACGGUCGCAAGAUUAAAACUCAAAGGAAUAGACGGGGACCCGCACAAGCGGUGGAGCAUGUGGUUUAAUUCGACGAUACGCGAAGAACCUUACCUGGACUUGACAUAGUAAGAAUAUUUAAGAGAUUAGAUAGUGUCUGCUUGCAGAAACUUGCAUACAGGUGCUGCACGGCUGUCGUCAGCUCGUGCCG